This 518-nucleotide ribosomal RNA is filed under the name Carabidae sp. BAH_28362_H03. Its description in RNAcentral is "partial 16S ribosomal RNA". It matches the Rfam family "Bacterial large subunit ribosomal RNA", at positions 1837 to 2613 of the family's 2925-position model. Lineage: Eukaryota; Metazoa; Arthropoda; Insecta; Coleoptera; Carabidae. The record is from RNAcentral.
GGUAAUAUAUAUAAAGUCUAACCUGCCCACUGAUUUAUUUAACGGCCGCAGUAAUUUGACUGUGCAAAGGUAGCAUAAUCAUUAGUUUUUUAAUUAAAAGCUUGUAUGAAAGGUUGGACGAGGUAAAAACUGUCUCUAUUUAAUUUAAAAUAGAAUUUAAUUUUUAAGUUAAAAAGCUUAAAUUUUUAUAAAAGACGAGAAGACCCUAUAGAUUUUUAUAAUUUUAUUAAUAUAAUAUUUUAAGAUUAAUUUUAAUUUUAUUAAUAAUAUUAUUUUAUUGGGGUAAUAGAAAGAUUAAAGAAAUUCUUUUUUAAUUUAAACAUUUAUUUAUGAUUAAAUGAUCCAAUUUUAUUGAUUAAAAGAUUAAAUUACCUUAGGGAUAACAGCGUAAUUUUUUUAAAGAGUUCAUAUCGAUAAAAAAGUUUGCGACCUCGAUGUUGGAUUAAAGAUUAAUUUAGGUGUAGAAGUUUAAAUUUUUGGUCUGUUCGACCAUUAAAUCUUUACGUGAUCUGAGUUCA